Long non-coding RNA from Chrysemys picta bellii (western painted turtle), 2194 nucleotides. RefSeq lists it as uncharacterized. NCBI's taxonomy places the organism in Eukaryota, Metazoa, Chordata, Testudines, Emydidae. The record is from RefSeq and is a predicted model, not a curated record.
AGGUUGAGGUGCAUUUGGCAGGGCUAUGAGAUGGAAGCUUGUACAGCAGAUACUGCCACCAAUCCCUGUUAGACUAUUAUACAGGAGCAAAUUCCGCUGCUUUUUAAACACAUUGCACUACGUAUUUUUAAGGAUAGACAGCCCUUGGAGCGAUCCCCAAUGGUGCCUGAAAUUCCAUUUGUGUUCCAAGCUUUGGUCAGUGUUUCCCAGAGGGAUCGGGCAGGGCUUUGGUGCAGCAAGGCAGUCGUGCUGCUAAGAAAGGAUCACAGCCAACUUCCUAAAACCCAUGUUCUCAGGACUCCAGAUCAGAGAGUGCAGUGCUGACAGUCCACAGGAGGGCUGCUUGGAACAAAGACCUGGAGCUGGCGAGAGCUGCACCCGCAGAAGAACACGUGAUGCACUUGGUAUCCGCGGGACCCCCCUGACAGCGGCGCCUUACUGGGAUCUUUUCAUCAUGCUAAAAGACUGGAUGGGUGGAAUCUACCUGGGUCUGAUGGCAGAGGCAAGGCUGUGACAACUCUCCCUUUAAACCUGACGGCCCCAGCAUCCCAGUGGAGGUGACAGAAGGAUCUUGGCAGGAAUAUUUCAUGUCUGGGGUGUUGCAGUUCCUGGGGGAAUCCAUUUAUCCAUCCAGUUACCAAAAAAGCAUCCUUCUUCCUGACAUGCACUGAAUUCGGCCCUGCAUAUUUCCUCAGCGCGCCAGCGAGGCAGAGUGCAGCGUACAGCCUGCGAUGGCCAUCUUCACUGCUAGCGCUGCACUGGCCAGCUGGCGCGGUUGCCAGAUAUAUUCCAUCUGCAUCUCUUACGAAGUCCUGGCAUCAGGGAUGGAUGCUAGUGAAUGGGGCUGACGUCCAUUCCUGGCACUUCCUGAGGCAUCUUUGGAUGGCUUAGGAGAGUUUUCCGGAACUUACUGUGAGAGGAGAAUGUGCUCAUUAAUUGCCACAGACGCUGAUAGUGAUCAGCAUUGCCUCUUGCUGAUUUCAUUGUAUCCUACUGGUCUGGCACUUUCCUUCUUUCUGUCAGUGUGCUGUACAGGGUGGGGGACGGGAAGGGAGUGGCAAGAGACUGGAAAACAAAAACUUCUGAGCUCUAGUUUUAGCCCUGCCACUGACGCACUGCAAGGCCUUGGGCAAAUCGCUUAACCAAUCUGUGCCUCAUUCUAGCCAUCUUUAAAAUCUUGUUACUAAUAGGGCUUGUCUACACAGGGAAAAAGCCCCGGGUUGCUAGGGCAGAGUCACUUGUGUGCACUAGUACUAAUUACUCUGCACCAACGCCCUGGGUGGACACCCUUGCUCUCCACGGCCUUUCAGCAGGUUAGGUUAAUACCUAAAAACAGAAAAAUAGUUCUCCUGCUCUAAGCUGGGUGGCCCAUAUACCCGGCAAAGGCUCACGAUCUGUAGCUAUCCCAAGCAGCCUUAGUUUUACAGAUCAGGUUCCAGAAUUGUCAGGUCAUGCAGAUGCCUUAAUUUAAAACAUUUUGUUGGCCUAGCUUAGCCCCGGCCAGGUUCCCUUAGCAAAGCUGUGGACGGUGGCAAGUAGUGGUGUGUAAGCAGAAUUUUCUGUUGGUUCCUUUGUUCCAUUUCCUUCUCUUGUUGGAAACAGACUGGAUUUGCUUUUUCUUCCUAUUAUCCUUAAACGGCAGCUCUUAGAGGGCCCCAUCCCAGAGACUGUUUUCGGUCCAACCUCCUUUUGAAUUUUGCCUGGGUCAAGCCCAAAUCAGUGCUGAGGAGGUGGAAAGGCACAACAGCAAAAACACCCAAACACUCUUGCCAGUCCAGGCUCUAUGAUUUAGAGCUAUAGUCUGACAUGCAGAAUAACCACAGCUGGAUGAAAGGUGCACCGUAAAGUAGUAGUAUGACAGCCUAUGGCUGAUUGGAUUGGCUGUCACUGUACCAGGUGUUUCUCUGAGUACUUUUCAGCUGGAACCAGCUUGUUAUGUUGCCAACUCUGCUGUCCCUUACACCAGCAUAGAUUCAGAGUAACUCCAUUCCGAUCAGGGGAGUUGCUCUGGAUUUACACCUGUGUAACUGACCAGCAGAAGAGGUGCUUGUGUGUCCAGUUCUUGGGUAACAGAGCUCUUUUCUCAGAUUUUAUUAUGUGUAUAGGUUGAAUAAUUACCCACACCCUACAUUCUAGGACCCUGAGCCUAUACUGAGCGCUCUGUAGUGUCCAUCAAUAAAGUUACAUGCAGACA